GAUGAAGAACGUAGCGAAAUGCGAUACGUAAUGUGAAUUGCAGAAUUCAGUGAAUCAUCGAGUCUUUGAACGCACAUUGCGCCCUCUGGUAUUCCGGAGGGCAUGCCUGUCCGAGCGUCAUUGCUGCCCUCAAGCACGGCUUGUGUGUUGGGCCCCGCCCCCCGAUCCCGGGGGGCGGGCCCGAAAGGCAGCGGCGGCACCGCGUCCGGUCCUCGAGCGUAUGGGGCUUUGUCACCCGCUCUGUAGGCCAGGCCGGCGCUUGCCGAUCAACCAAACUUUUUUCCAGGUUGACCUCGGAUCAGGUAGGGAUACCCGCUGAACUUAAGCAUAUCAAUAAGCGGAGGA
Molecule: unclassified non-coding RNA, 345 nt
Filed under: soil metagenome
Description: partial contains 5.8S ribosomal RNA, internal transcribed spacer 2, and large subunit ribosomal RNA
Rfam family: 5.8S ribosomal RNA (bases 1-120)
Source: RNAcentral